GAUGAACGCUAGCUACAGGCUUAACACAUGCAAGUCGAGGGGAAACGACAUCGAAAGCUUGCUUUUGAUGGGCGUCGACCGGCGCACGGGUGAGUAACGCGUAUCCAACCUGCCCACCACUUGGGGAUAACCUUGCGAAAGUAAGACUAAUACCCAAUGAUAUCUCUAGAAGACAUCUGAAAGAGAUUAAAGAUUUAUCGGUGAUGGAUGGGGAUGCGUCUGAUUAGCUUGUUGGCGGGGUAACGGCCCACCAAGGCAACGAUCAGUAGGGGUUCUGAGAGGAAGGUCCCCCACAUUGGAACUGAGACACGGUCCAAACUCCUACGGGAGGCAGCAGUGAGGAAUAUUGGUCAAUGGACGAGGGUCUGAACCAGCCAAGUAGCGUGCAGGAUGACGGCCCUAUGGGUUGUAAACUGCUUUUAUAAGGGAAUAAAGUGAGUCUCGUGAGGCUUUUCGCAUGUACCUUAUGAAUAAGGACCGGCUAAUUCCGUGCCAGCAGCCGCAGUAA
RNAcentral lists this ribosomal RNA (508 nucleotides) under uncultured bacterium. RNAcentral's name for it is "partial 16S ribosomal RNA". It matches the Rfam family "Bacterial small subunit ribosomal RNA", at positions 28 to 523 of the family's 1533-position model. The record is from RNAcentral.